UACAGAGGUCUCAAGCGUUGUUCGGAUUCAUUGGGCGUAAAGGGUGCGUAGGUGGCGCUGUAAGUCGGGUGUGAAAUUUCGGAGCUUAACUCCGAAACUGCAUUCGAUACUGCGGUGCUUGAGGACUGGAGAGGAGACUGGAAUUCAUGGUGUAGCAGUGAAAUGCGUAGAGAUCAGGAGGAACACCAAUGGCGAAGGCAGCUCGCUGGGACGUGACUGACGCUGAGACGCGAAAGCGUGGGGAGCAAACAGG
RNAcentral lists this ribosomal RNA (253 nucleotides) under uncultured bacterium. RNAcentral describes it as "partial 16S ribosomal RNA". It matches the Rfam family "Bacterial small subunit ribosomal RNA", at positions 524 to 776 of the family's 1533-position model. The record is from RNAcentral.